RNAcentral lists this ribosomal RNA (1922 nucleotides) under human gut metagenome. Its description in RNAcentral is "bacterial LSU rRNA". It matches the Rfam family "Bacterial large subunit ribosomal RNA", at positions 3 to 1973 of the family's 2925-position model. The record is from RNAcentral.
UCAAGCGACUAAGUGUAUGUGGUGGAUGCCUUGGCGAUUACAGGCGAAGAAGGACGUCGCAGCCUGCGAAAAGCCGUGGGGAGCUGGCAAGCGAGCACUGAUCCACGGAUGUCCGAAUGAGGGAACUCACCCGCAAGGGUAUCUUGAAGUGAAUACAUAGCUUCAAGAGGCGAACGCAGCGAACUGAAACAUCUAAGUAGCUGCAGGAAAAGAAAUCAACCGAGAUUCUGAAAGUAGCGGCGAGCGAAAUUGGAAGAGCCUGCAAGUGAUAUUGAAUUCGAUACUGGAACGGUCUGGAAAGUCCGGCUACAGAGGGUGACAGCCCCGUACGGGAAAUUGGGUUCAAGGUACUGAGCUUGCGAGAAGUAGAGCGGGACACGUGAAAUCCUGCUCGAAGAUGGGGGGACCAUCCUCCAAGGCUAAAUACUCGUAAUCGACCGAUAGCGAACCAGUACUGUGAAGGAAAGGCGAAAAGAACCCCGGGAGGGGAGUGAAAUAGAUCCUGAAACCGCAUACAUACAAACAGUAGGAGCCCGCAAGGGUGACUGCGUACCUUUUGCAUAAUGGGUCAGCGACUUACGUUCAAUGGCAAGCUUAACCGAGUAGGGGAGGCGCAGCGAAAGCGAGUCCGAACAGGGCGACAUGAGUCGUUGGGCGUAGACCCGAAACCAGAUGAUCUAUCCAUGGCCAGGCUGAAGGUGUGGUAACACACACUGGAGGGCCGAACCGACUAGUGUUGCAAAAUUAGCGGAUGAGCUGUGGAUAGGGGUGAAAGGCUAAACAAAUCUGGAGAUAGCUGGUUCUCCCCGAAAACUAUUGAGGUAGUGCCUCGUGUAUGGCUCCAGGGGGUAGAGCACUGUUAUGGCUAGGGGGACAUGGCGUCUUACCAAACCAUGGCAAACUCCGAAUACUUGGAAGUCUGAGCACGGGAGACAGAGCACCGGGUGCUAACGUCCGGACUCAAAAGGGAAACAACCCAGACCGCCGGCUAAGGUCCCUAAUAUUGACUAAGUGGAAAACGAAGUGGGAAGGCUAAGACAGUCAGGAAGUUGGCUUAGAAGCAGCCAUCCUUCAAAGAAAGCGUAAUAGCUCACUGAUCGAGUCUUCCUGCGCGGAAGAUGUAACGGGGCUAAGUCAAUAACCGAAGCCGCGGAUUCGCAGCAAUGCGAGUGGUAGGGGAGCGUUCUGUAAGCCUGCGAAGGCGGAUCUGCGAGGACCGCUGGAGGUAUCAGAAGUGCGAAUGCUGACAUGAGUAACGUUAAAGCGGGUGAAAAGCCCGCUCGCCGCAAGCCCAAGGUUUCCUGCUCUACGUUCAUCGGAGCAGGGUGAGUCGGCCCCUAAGGUCAGGCUGAGAAGCGUAGCUGAUGGGAAGCUGGUUAAUAUUCCAGCACCGAUUUCAAGUGCGAAGGGGGGACGGAGUCCUGAAGGUCAUCCGGGUGUUGGAUAUCCCGGUUUACGAGCGUAGGAGGUUGACAGGCAAAUCCGUCAACGGAUCUCCAAGGCGAAGGAUCGAGGUUGAGAGAUCAACUGAAGUGACUGAAUGGGCUUCCAGGAAAAGCCUCUAAGCAUCAGCUUGGAAUUGACCGUACCGCAAACCGACACUGGUGGGCGAGCUGAAUAUGCUCAGGCGCUUGAGAGAACUCAGGAGAAGGAACUCGGCAAAUUGACACCGUAACUUCGGGAUAAGGUGUGCCUUUGUAGUGUGAAGGGAGAAACACCCCGAGCAUGAAGAGGCCUCAGAGAAUCGGUGGCUGCAACUGUUUACUAAAAACACAGCACUCUGCAAAGAUGAAAGUCGACGUAUAGGGUGUGAUGCCUGCCCGGUGCUGGAAGAUUAAUUGAUGGGGUGCAAGCUCCUGAUCGAAGUCCCAGUAAACGGCGGCCGUAACUAUAACGGUCCUAAGGUAGCGAAAUUCCUUGUC